UGCUCCCUAUUCAAGAUGAGUCCUGCACACAUCUAAAUCAAUUUUGUUUACAACCCAGAUUCAGUUUGUCGCAAUGCAAGCUAUAUUCGUCCUGCGAGCAGAUUUAACUUUUUUUUUGAGAAAACACCUCGUUUUUCAUCUGCGGCUUUGUUUCCAUGUUUGCUGUCGCCCACAGCUCGUCCUACGUCUUCGGAAAGAUCUGACCGCAACGAAUGAAUGUGUCGCUUUAUAUAUACAUAAUUAAUUCGAGAUCGAACAUUGUGGCAUAUGGUCUGGCAAUAGCUAUGAGAGGACUGUGCAAAUGUGAGUGCGCCCUGUUGUGGCCAAGCGUUGGUUUUUUCUGCUGUUAUUUUGUUUGUAUUGCCAUAUGUGACUGCUGUUAUUUUGUUUGUAUUGCCAUAUUGACCCAGAUGUGGUUUACUUACCCAGUGCAUCGAUUUUGACGGUACGUCGUCGACUCUGGCAAAUACAAAAUGACAUAAAGUUUGUGUUUAAUAUUUAGUCCAAAUCCCUGAAACGUGCGUGUUUUUAAGCUCUGAUGGAACAACAAAAAAAGCGAACAAAAUCAUCACGGUGAAGAUCCCUUAGACCUUACUUAAUAUGCAACAAUAUUUACCAACGUGAAUCUCGCCGUCCGUCCAUGUAUCGCCGUUCAACUUGAUUGCUUCAUCUUGAAGCGUGUAAUUUGUAUAUAUAAUAAACGAUUUGAUCUCGCAUAUCGUUGAACAUAUACAUCUUGCGGGAAACCUUCGACGCUGGCCAACGGCGCAGUUCCUGUACAAUUAGCUAGUAGCAUGAAAGCCUACGUCAACGAGACAAGUUCAUCGAUGAACUAUUAGAUCCACAAGACGCAACUCUUGCUAUGAAUGCUGCGAGCCGGUGGCAAACUGCGAGGGAAAGCGAUAUCGGAGAGCAAUCUGAGGAGAUAACUGCGUCUCUCGACCAUGAGUGCUGACGCAUCGCUGUAAUCUGUUUGACCGUCGAAGAGGAAGCAAAGCGAAGACAGUAUGCGAUCGACCACGAUGAAUAGAGCCGAGGCCCAAUUAGUGACGUGCGUAGUAAUGUCCACAGUGUGUUAGCACUGAUGUACCAACGCUUGAAUUCAAAACAUGAAGGGUACACCCUUCGGCUUUCUUCGAUUGUUGGCGAGUGAAACUGACUGACGUUGGGUGGCAUUCAGACAUAACAAACGUGACGAUAAGCUUCAUCAUAGGCUUGAGCAUCUGAAUGCGGAGCUUCGAGGGAUUCGGGACGGACGAUUCUGUAGCUUGGGAAGAAGGCUGGUGAAGAAUGCACGAGUCGACGAUCGCAGUUCGUAAUACCGAGGAAACAUGCUGCGAAAUCGCGUAUCGAGUAGUUCGAUAUCGCUUUUGGUGCGCGGUAGAUCGUUUGGGAGCUACAGAUGCUUAACUGGUGACGCUGAUAAAGUAACGGAUUAUCGUUAUUGGGCUAACCAUAGGCUGGCACUAGUAGUCCAUAGAUAAAAGCUUGAUCGAGGAGCUUCAGCAGAAUGGCUAGCCACUGCAGCAAGGUAUCCUGCUACCUGUAACGUUCUGUUUGUUAUACGGGUAUCAUAUGUUGUCUGACUUUUUAAGGAAAAAGGAGACAAAUCCUGCCUAACUAAUGAGGAUUUGUCUAUGCCAUCGCGAAGGGAAGCAGCAGUAACAUAAAAUGAAUGCCAUUCGUUCUGCUCUGCAAAGAAAUGCUCAGUAAAGUUUUUUUCUCUGCUUUUCCCGUUCUAAUAUAAUAAAACUAUCGGUGUGCCUCGUGCUAGA
This is a long non-coding RNA of Varroa destructor (honeybee mite), 1775 nucleotides long. RefSeq lists it as uncharacterized. The record is from RefSeq and is a predicted model, not a curated record. NCBI's taxonomy places the organism in Eukaryota, Metazoa, Arthropoda, Arachnida, Mesostigmata, Varroidae.